UCCUCGAUCCGCAUCGCCAGCAGCUCCGGUACGUUGCCCCCCUUCUUGAUCACGCCCCUCUCCUCCUCUUUAGUAUUCCUUUAUAUCAUGGUUUGAUGUGGUUCAUCUUUCCUGAUGAGCCGAGGCGCCGUGACCCGGCCUCACAGCCACGGGAAGGAGCGACGAAUCCCCAACUCUGCGGUAUGGCGUGCUUUGCCAGUUCGUCACCAAGUCCCCAAUGUUGUCACCGGCCGGACCUACGACGGUGCUAAGAUGAGUCAUCCUCUCUAAAAGCUUCUGUUUAAUCUCUAAUGGAUCUAUUCUUCUAACCAUGAAGCAAUUUAAGUAGCAAGUUCGUUUCUCGUUGGUUAGUUGUAAGCAACCACAUGAUGUUAAAGGGAAGUACCAAUCAGGCUUAUGCCUCUUCUCUACGUGUAUGUUUGGGAUGCCUUUUCUCUAGGUGUAUGCUCGGGUUAUUUACUAAUUGUAUAUGUGCUAGACCUUCCUGAUGGUCCAUUGCCAGGCAUAGAAAGGCUACAAUUUUGAUUUUCUGCCAAGUGUUGUGAUCUUAGUUUCUUGGAAAGACUGAGUUCCCACUUCUCUAAUGUGCUAAAUGAUCUCCAGCUAACUUUUGUAUAUUGAUUGAUACACCUCUCCAGCUUCAAAUUUUUGUACAUCCUUAACUGAAUGCAUCCUUAUUAUUUCAUGUUCAUUCUAAAAUGCAACAUUAUUGGUAAGAUGCUCAAUCAAAUUCUUCUGCUGGCCUGGUUAUGUUCUUGAUACUAACAUGGAUAGUGCAUAGGUACUCACUUAAUUUCUACUGAGCUAUAAUGGCCAACAACAGUAGCUCACUUAAUUUCUUGAUACUAACGUUGAAUUUUGAUUCUUUGUUCGCAGGCAGCGGAAGGGGCUUUGAGAUCUCCAAGUUGGAGGAGAGGAAGUGUCCUCUGAUGCUGCAGCCAAGGGAAAUGACGACAGGUGAUUUGUUCUUUGUCAUGGAUUUUGUAUUUUUCGGGGAGUCGAUCACUUGUGUGUGUGAAGAAUUGAGUACACGCGGAUUGGUAGGAUUGAAAGAGAUUGAUGCAUUUUUUGUUUAAUAGCUGGAGUGUAAUUCCAUUCAGCUGGCAAUUUAUCCAUGUAGUCCUGUAAGAUAUUGCCUACAUGACUUAAGGUGUGGUGCAUAUAUUAAUCAUUAUUAUGAUAAUUAAGAUUAACACAAGUUAUUCAGACAUAUUUGUGAAUCUCAACUAAGAUAAGCUUAUUCGCAAAGUAUAUGCAAAUACUCCCUCUGUAAACAAAUAAAAGACGUUUUAGAUAUGAUAUUUGCAGAGGGAAUAGUUUACAGAGGAAGUAGUAUAUAUAUGAAGAUAACAUCUACUGGUAUGAUAUUUACAACACUUCAGUUAUUAUGGUUAUUUCAGUUCCAAAGAACACAAAUAUUUACUUGAGAUAAUUUGCAUGUGUAGCGAUGUAGUUGUAUAUAGGGCAUGCAAGUAACGGAGUAAGUCACAAUUAUGAAACAAAGGUCCUAUUUAAUUGGUCUAGGUUUGCUUUUUCAUUGUUUUCAUUUCUUUAAUUAAUGUACAUGUGGAGGUAUAACAGUUUCUUAGACCAUAUAUAUAUAGAAAGUGCUUGCAUGUUCUCUGUACAUACCUUGAGUUGGCUCUAAUUAAUCCCCAGUAUGGCGUAAAAUUUUUCGCUAGUUGGUGAAUAGUUGCAUCAGCUAAACCCACUAUAAAUUUGUGUGAGAAGCCUAGGAAUAUGGAAUUUGCCCCUGAUGAAUAUGAGUUUGUUGUUCCCUAUGUCCCAUGUGCAUCACCAUGAAGAAUAUCUUUGGGAAUAUGAGUUUGUUAUAGACAAAACAGUCUUUGAUUGUAAAUCUUCACAAUAUUUUUUUAUUUUAUAACAUCUUGUGUAUAUUUUUAAAGAUUUCAAAAGGAAGACUUUUUAGGUGUUAUCAUCUAUUACCUAUAGCUAUGCACAUACCUUAAAUAUUUUACGUUUCUCAUGACAGAUCUUUCCCAAGCCUAGAUAUUCUAGCUGAGAGCUCCAUCAUGGAAUCACUAAGAUGAACUUACAAGACAGGCAUGGAUAAAACCAUG
This 2081-nucleotide long non-coding RNA is filed under the name Triticum aestivum (bread wheat). Its description in RNAcentral is "long non-coding RNA (TAES_LNC009793)". The record is from RNAcentral. Lineage: Eukaryota; Viridiplantae; Streptophyta; Magnoliopsida; Poales; Poaceae.